GGGGAAUAUUGGACAAUGGGCGAAAGCCUGAUCCAGCCAUGCCGCGUGAGUGAUGAAGGCCCUAGGGUUGUAAAGCUCUUUCACCGGGGAAGAUAAUGACGGUACCCGGAGAAGAAGCCCCGGCUAACUUCGUGCCAGCAGCCGCGGUAAUACGAAGGGGGCUAGCGUUGUUCGGAAUUACUGGGCGUAAAGCGCACGUAGGCGGAUAUUUAAGUCAGGGGUGAAAUCCCGGGGCUCAACCCCGGAACUGCCCUUGAUACUGGGUAUCUCGAGUUCGAGAGAGGUGAGUGGAAUUCCGAGUGUAGAGGUGAAAUUCGUAGAUAUUCGGAGGAACACCAGUGGCGAAGGCGGCUCACUGGCUCGAUACUGACGCUGAGGUGCGAAAGCGUGGGGAGCAAAC
This 400-nucleotide ribosomal RNA is filed under the name uncultured bacterium. RNAcentral describes it as "bacterial SSU rRNA". It matches the Rfam family "Bacterial small subunit ribosomal RNA", at positions 356 to 773 of the family's 1533-position model. The record is from RNAcentral.